CAAUAGCGUAUAUUAAAGUUGCUGCGGUUAAAAAGCUCGUAGUUGGAUUUCUGUUGAGGAAGGCCGGUCCGCACUAUGUGCGUGUAUCUGGUUCUGCCUCGGCAUCCUCUCGAAUGCCGGGCUGCGCUUAAUUGCGUGGGUCUGACUCGGGACUUUUACUUUGAGGAAAUUAGAGUGUUCACGGCAGGCAAGCGCCAUGAAUAUAUUAGCAUGGAAUAAUGAUAUAGGAUCUUGGUCCUAUUUUGUUGGUUUCUAGGGCUAAGAUAAUGAUUAAUAGGGACAAUUGGGGGCAUUCGUAUUAACGCGUCAGAGGUGGAAUUCUUGGAUUGCGUUACGACGAACUACUGCGAAAGCAUUUGCCAAGGAUGUUUUCAUUGA
RNAcentral lists this ribosomal RNA (378 nucleotides) under uncultured eukaryote. RNAcentral's name for it is "partial 18S ribosomal RNA". It matches the Rfam family "Eukaryotic small subunit ribosomal RNA", at positions 592 to 976 of the family's 1831-position model. The record is from RNAcentral.